Molecule: long non-coding RNA, 1128 nt
Filed under: Olea europaea subsp. europaea
Lineage: Eukaryota; Viridiplantae; Streptophyta; Magnoliopsida; Lamiales; Oleaceae
Source: RNAcentral
AUCGAUUACAAAUAAAAAAUUUAUAAGUCACCAUAUAUUUAUCGGUCACAAGUUACAAAUAUUAUAAAUAACAAUUUAUUAUACAAUCACAAAUUAUUGAAUUAUCAUCACAAAAUAACAAUUUUUUUUGUCACAAUUUAUCUUUUUCAUUGAUCAAAUAUUAUUUAUUGGUCACAGAUUAACCCAUUUAAUGGUCACAAUGAACCAAUUAAUUUGUGACCACCACCUCACCACUACCUUCGACAGCAGCAAUAUCAUCGUCGCCACCAUAACUACCUCCCAAAGGCGACAACCAAUCAACAAAUGGUACGAACGGUACUACUAUGAACGCAAGAAAAGCCAAUUGCAACGUCGAUAACAUAUGAUCGCAUCCUAAUUCGUUGUCAUAGCGACCACCACCAUCACCACCACCUCACCACCACAUUCGCCAUCACCACAAAAAUUAGGGCUUCAACGACCAUCACUACUAUCACCUUACCACCACAACCACCAACAAAACCACCGUCACCCCCAUCGCCACUAACAAAAUCCAACAAACCCGUCAUCGAGAGUCCACCACUACUGCUACUAACAAAACAACCACCACCAUCACCAAAUCCAACAAAUUGUCGCCAUAGCCACCCAAGCAUCACAACAAAUUAGAUUCACAAAAUUGCCAUCACUAGAAUCGGAAUGCUACUGGACAUGUGCAGUCCUGUUGGCGUCGUCAUGCUCAACGCUCGCCUCUAGUUGUUUAUGUGCAGAUCGCCUUCGUCAGUGGUGGUUGGUUAUAGCUCAUUGAAGGAGAAGGCGAGAGAUAGGGGGAGUAGCUCAAUGAAGGAGAAGGCGAGAGAUGGCGUCAUGUGUGGCGCUCGCCAUCGAUGGUCUAGGUGUGGAUCGUCUUUAUCGACGGUGGUUGGGUGCGGCUCAGUGAAGGAGUAGACGAGUGGCGGUGUAGCAACUUAUUGAAGGAGACGAGGGAUAGGAGAGAGAGAAUUUGGGUUUGGGAUUGAAAUUGUGUGGUAGAUGAAUUAUUAGGUAAUUAAAAAUAUCUGAUUUUAGAAUUUUAGAAUAUACAAACUUUGGAUCUGAUUUCCGAAGUUGGAUUUUGAAACAUAUGGAUGGGUGUAAUUACCAUUAAGCAAAAAG